GUCAAGAUGGCCGAGUUGGUUUAAGAUGCCAGUUUCAGGUACUGGUUCAAAAAGACAUGGGUUCAAAUUUCAUUCUUGGCA
RNAcentral lists this transfer RNA (81 nucleotides) under Ipomoea nil (Japanese morning glory). It matches the Rfam family "tRNA". Rfam says of the family: Transfer RNA (tRNA) molecules are approximately 80 nucleotides in length. Their secondary structure includes four short double-helical elements and three loops (D, anti-codon, and T loops). Further hydrogen bonds mediate the characteristic L-shaped molecular structure. tRNAs have two regions of fundamental functional importance: the anti-codon, which is responsible for specific mRNA codon recognition, and the 3' end, to which the tRNAs corresponding amino acid is attached (by aminoacyl-tRNA synthetases). tRNAs cope with the degeneracy of the genetic code in two manners: having more than one tRNA (with a specific anti-codon) for a particular amino acid; and 'wobble' base-pairing, i.e. permitting non-standard base-pairing at the 3rd anti-codon position. Lineage: Eukaryota; Viridiplantae; Streptophyta; Magnoliopsida; Solanales; Convolvulaceae. The record is from Rfam by way of RNAcentral.